GGUGCUUGCAUCAUGAUUUACAUUUGAGUGAGUGGCGAACUGGUGAGUAACACGUGGGAAACCUGCCCAGAAGCGGGGGAUAACACCUGGAAACAGAUGCUAAUACCGCAUAACAACUUGGACCGCAUGGUCCGAGCUUGAAAGAUGGCUUCGGCUAUCACUUUUGGAUGGUCCCGCGGCGUAUUAGCUAGAUGGUGGGGUAACGGCUCACCAUGGCAAUGAUACGUAGCCGACCUGAGAGGGUAAUCGGCCACAUUGGGACUGAGACACGGCCCAAACUCCUACGGGAGGCAGCAGUAGGGAAUCUUCCACAAUGGACGAAAGUCUGAUGGAGCAACGCCGCGUGAGUGAAGAAGGGUUUCGGCUCGUAAAACUCUGUUGUUAAAGAAGAACAUAUCUGAGAGUAACUGUUCAGGUAUUGACGGUAUUUAACCAGAAAGCCACGGCUAACUACGUGCCAGCAGCCGCGGUAAUACGUAGGUGGCAAGCGUUGUCCGGAUUUAUUGGGCGUAAAGCGAGCGCAGGCGGUUUUUUAAGUCUGAUGUGAAAGCCUUCGGCUCAACCGAAGAAGUGCAUCGGAAACUGGGAAACUUGAGUGCAGAAGAGGACAGUGGAACUCCAUGUGUAGCGGUGAAAUGCGUAGAUAUAUGGAAGAACACCAGUGGCGAAGGCGGCUGUCUGGUCUGUAACUGACGCUGAGGCUCGAAAGUAUGGGUAGCAAACAGGAUUAGAUACCCUGGUAGUCCAUACCGUAAACGAUGAAUGCUAAGUGUUGGGAGGGUUUCCGCCCCUUCAGUGCUGCAGCUAACGCAUUAAGCAUUCCGCCUGGGGGAGUACGGCCCCCAAGGCUGAAAACUCAAAAGGAAUUGACGGGGGGCCCCCCACAAACCGGUGGAACCAUGUGGUUUUAAUUUCAAACCUACCCCGAAAAAACCUUUACCAAGGUCUU
This 949-nucleotide ribosomal RNA is filed under the name Lactiplantibacillus plantarum. Its description in RNAcentral is "bacterial SSU rRNA". It matches the Rfam family "Bacterial small subunit ribosomal RNA", at positions 64 to 983 of the family's 1533-position model. The record is from RNAcentral. Lineage: Bacteria; Bacillati; Bacillota; Bacilli; Lactobacillales; Lactobacillaceae.